ACACGGACCAAGGAGUCUUGAAUGUGCGCGAGUCAAAGGGCUGGCUAAACCCCAAGGCGAAACGAAAGUGAUGUUGUUGCUCUUCUUCUUCUUUUUGGAGGAGAGAGCACGCACUAGGGCUGAUCCGGUUCGGGGCGCGAGUUAGAGGGGGAUUCCUCCUUCGAAUCUCUUUCCCCGAUUCGUCACCUUAAUAUGUGGACGGCGCAAGCCCGGGGCCCGCACGUUGCUCCUCCCCGUCGCUAAUGCCUGGCCGUUGUUGCGCUCGUUUCGUGUACAAAACAAUAUGACGGAGGGGAAAGGGAGCCCCGCGCGUUUCUAAGGUCCACUGACUUUGCUUAGCGUUCCUUAGCCGCGGUUUUCUCCUUUUUCCAUUUCCGCCUGUAAAAAUAAGCGGGCGAGCGUAAUGCGGUUCGCAGACGUGGGACGGGCCGCGGGUACCUUGAGCGCACAUUCUAGUACCCGAAAGAUGGUGAUCUAUGCGUGGCGAGGAUGAAGCCAGGGGAAACUCUGGUGGAGGUCCGAAGCGAUUCUGACGUGCAAAUCGAUCGUCGGAGCUGCGUAUAGGGGCGAAAGACCUAUCGAACCAUCUAGUAGCU
This 596-nucleotide ribosomal RNA is filed under the name Acaeroplastes melanurus melanurus. Its description in RNAcentral is "partial 28S ribosomal RNA". It matches the Rfam family "Eukaryotic large subunit ribosomal RNA", at positions 659 to 952 of the family's 3401-position model. The record is from RNAcentral. Lineage: Eukaryota; Metazoa; Arthropoda; Malacostraca; Isopoda; Porcellionidae.